GAUGAAGAACGUAGCGAAAUGCGAUAAGUAGUGUGAAUUGCAGAAUUUAGUGAAUCAUCGAAUCUUUGAACGCACAUUGCGCCCUAUAGUAUUCUGUAGGGCAUGCCUGUUCGAGCGUUAUUGAGACCUCAAGCUCUGCUUGGAAAUGGGCGCUUGUCUUGCCUUGCAGACUCGCCUUAAAACCAUUGGCAGCUGAUUUACAAUGUUUGGUGCACAGUACAUGAGCCCAAGUGUUGCAAUGAGUGGCCCAAAAGUAUACAAUAGAAGCUUAACCUCGGAUCAGGUAGGGAUACCCGCUGAACUUAAGCAUAUCAAUAAGCGGAGA
This 325-nucleotide unclassified non-coding RNA is filed under the name soil metagenome. Its description in RNAcentral is "partial contains 5.8S ribosomal RNA, internal transcribed spacer 2, and large subunit ribosomal RNA". The stretch from base 1 to 120 matches the Rfam family "5.8S ribosomal RNA", at positions 35 to 154 of the family's 154-position model. The record is from RNAcentral.